AGGAAAACCNUUUUGGCGCUCAGGGUAAUCUUCAGCGCGUAAGACGCGGAUUUACGCUCCAUUUAAAAUCUGGCAGUCUUUGAUUGUCCGAGUUGUAAUUUAGAGAAGUGUUACCCGCGCCGGACCGUGUACAGUCUCCUGGAAGGGAGCAUCAUAGAGGGUGAGAAUCCCGUCUUUGACAUGGACUACCGGGGCUUUGUGGUAUGCUCUCAAAGACGUCGAGUUGUUUGGGAAUGCAGCUCUAAAUGGGUGGUAAAUUCCAUCUAAAGCUAAAUAUUGGCGAGAGACCGAUAGCGAACAAGUACCGGUGAGGGAAAGAUGAAAAGAACCUUUGGAAAGAGAGUUAAACCAAGUAACGGUUGAAAUUUGGCUGAAAAGGGGGAAAACGCCUUGGACAAGUUCAAGGGUUCGCCAUUUUAANCCUGGGGGGGAAUCCAAACCCUUUUUCUUUUUUGAAUUUUGGGUGUUACCUUUCCCUAAAUUUUGAUUGGGUUCAAACAUUCAGGUUUUUNGACUGGUUGGGAUUAAAGGGUUGGGGGGAAAUUUGUUGGGCAAUUUUUUUCGGGAUUGGUUGUUUUAAUUAUGCCCCCCCUUUG
RNAcentral lists this ribosomal RNA (596 nucleotides) under Chondrostereum purpureum. RNAcentral describes it as "partial 28S ribosomal RNA". It matches the Rfam family "Eukaryotic large subunit ribosomal RNA", at positions 1 to 622 of the family's 3401-position model. The record is from RNAcentral. Lineage: Eukaryota; Fungi; Basidiomycota; Agaricomycetes; Agaricales; Cyphellaceae.